CCUACGGGUGUCAGCAGUGAGGAAUAUUGGUCAAUGUCCGCAACUCUGAACCAGCCAAGUAGCGUGCAGGAUGAAGGCCCUAUGGGUUGUAAACUUCUUUUAUGCGGGAAUAAACUUAUUCACGUGUGGCUUAUUGCAUGUACCCCAUGAAUAAGCAUCGGCUAAUUCCGUGCCAGCAGCCGCGGUAAUACGGAGGAUCCGGGGGUUAUCCGGAUUUAUUGGGUUUAAAGGGUGCGUAGGGUGUGUUUUAAGCCUGCGGUGAAAGUGCGUGGCUCAACCAUAAGACUGCAGCUGAAACUGGAAGGCUAGAGUGUGUGUGAGGUAGGCGGAAUGCGUGGUGGAGCGGUGAAAUGCAUAGAUAUCACGAAGAACUCCGAUUGCGAAGGCAGAUUACUAUGCCAUAACUGACGCUGAAGCACGAAAGUGUGGGGAUCAAACAGGAUUAGAUACCCUUGUAGUC
This 460-nucleotide ribosomal RNA is filed under the name uncultured bacterium. Its description in RNAcentral is "partial 16S ribosomal RNA". It matches the Rfam family "Bacterial small subunit ribosomal RNA", at positions 338 to 795 of the family's 1533-position model. The record is from RNAcentral.